CUGCAAGUCGAGGGGAAACGAUAUUGGAAGCUUGCUUCCGAUAGGCGUCGACCGGCGCACGGGUGAGUAACGCGUAUCCAACCUGCCCAUCACUUGGGAAUAACCUUGCGAAAGUAAGACUAAUGCCCAAUGACAUUUAUAGAAGGCAUCUGAAAUGAAUUAAAGAUUUAUCGGUGAUGGAUGGGGAUGCGUCUGAUUAGCUUGUUGGCGGGGUAACGGCCCACCAAGGCGACGAUCAGUAGGGGUUCUGAGAGGAAGGUCCCCCACAUUGGAACUGAGACACGGUCCAAACUCCUACGGGAGGCAGCAGUGAGGAAUAUUGGUCAAUGGGCGAGAGCCUGAACCAGCCAAGUAGCGUGCAGGAUGACGGCCCUAUGGGUUGUAAACUGCUUUUAUAGGGGAAUAAAGUGAGCCACGUGUGGUUUUUUGCAUGUACCCUAUGAAUAAGGACCGGCUAAUUCCGUGCCAGCAGCCGCGGUAAUACGGAAGGUCCGGGCGUUAUCCGGAUUUAUUGGGUUUAAAGGGAGCGUAGGCCGGAGAUUAAGCGUGUUGUGAAAUGUAGAUGCUCAACAUCUGAACUGCAGCGCGAACUGGUUUCCUUGAGUACGCAUAAAGUGGGCGGAAUUCGUGGUGUAGCGGUGAAAUGCUUAGAUAUCACGAAGAACUCCGAUUGCGAAGGCAGCUCACUGGGGCGCAACUGACGCUGAAGCUCGAAAGCGCGGGUAUCGAACAGGAUUAGAUACCCUGGUAGUCCGCGCGGUAAACGAUGGAUGCCCGCUGUUGGGCCAACUGGUUCAGCGGCCAAGCGAAAGCAUUAAGCAUCCCACCUGGGGAGUACGCCGGCAACGGUGCAACUCAAAUGAAUUGACGGA
Molecule: ribosomal RNA, 872 nt
Filed under: uncultured Bacteroidota bacterium
Lineage: Bacteria; Pseudomonadati; Bacteroidota
Description: bacterial SSU rRNA
Rfam family: Bacterial small subunit ribosomal RNA
Source: RNAcentral